UGAAUAACGUAAAUAAGGGAAUUCGGCAAAUUAGAUCCGUAACUUCGGGAAAAGGAUUGGCUCUGAGGAUUGAGUCUCACACCAAAGGGAUGGAACUUAGAACUGAUUUGGUAUUGGUCGCAAGACUGAGACCCGAUCGGAGAAGAGGAAAGCCCCUGCGGUUAGGACAAUUAACAAUCGACUCAGAACUGAAGCGGACAAGGGGAAUCCGACUGUUUAAUAAAAACAUAGCUUUGUGAUGGCCUCAAAAGGUGUUGACACAAAGUGAUUUCUGCCCAGUGCUUUGAAUGUGAAUGUGAAGUAAUUUAUAGAAGCUCAGGUAAACGGCGGGAGUAACUAUGACUCUCUUAAGGUAGCCAAAUGCCUCGUCAUCUAAUUAGUGACGCGCAUGAAUGGAUUAAUGAGAUUCCCACUGUCCCUAUUUACCAUCUAGCGAACCCACAGCCAAGGGAACGGGCUUGGAAUAAUCAGCGGGGAAAGAAGACCCUGUUGAGCUUGACUCUAGUCCGACUUUGUGAAAUGACUUUCGAGAUAUAGCCUAAGUGGGAGCUAACGCGCCGCUGUAAAACCACUGCUCGCUUAGCCAUUUUACUUACUCCAUGAAGAAGUGACCAAUUUAUUGGUUCUUAGAUUUAAGUCCUGACUUGCUUCAGGACGAGCUUUGUGGAGGACACAGUCAGGUGGGGAGUUUGACUGGGGCGGUACAUCUGUUAAACAAUAACGCAGGUGUCCUACGGUGAGCUCAAAGAGAACAGAAAUCUCUUGUAGACCAAAAGGGGAAAAGCUCACUUGAUUUUGAUUUUCAGUACUAAUACAAACCGCGAAAGCGUGGCCUAUCGAUCCUUUAACUUUACAAGUUUUAAGCUAGAGGUGUCAGGAAAGUUACCACAGGGAUAACUGGCUUGUGGCAGCCAAGCGCCCAUAGCGACGUUGCUUUUUGAUCCUUCGAUGUCGGCUCUUCCUAUCAUUGUGAUGUACAAGUCACAACGUGUUGGAUUGUUCACCCGCUAACAGGGAACGUGAGCUGGGUUUAGACCGUCGUGAGACAGGUUGGUUUUACCCUACUGAUGAAUCGAUGUUGCGACAGUAAUCUUACUUAGUACGAGAGGAACCGUUAGAUCAGAUAAUUGGUUAAUACGGUUAGCUGAAAAGCUAAUGCCGUGAAGCUACCAUCUGUUGGAUUAUGACUGAAAGCCUCUAAGUCAGAAACCAUGCUGGAAAGCAACGUCCAAUCAAUAAUAAAUGAAAAAGAAUAAGGGAAACCUUUAGUUCAGUAAGGGAGCGGCGAAACUCGAAAGAGCACAGCCUAACCUCCAAUAAAUUUAAAUUAUUAUUGU
RNAcentral lists this ribosomal RNA (1337 nucleotides) under metagenome. Its description in RNAcentral is "eukaryotic LSU rRNA". It matches the Rfam family "Eukaryotic large subunit ribosomal RNA", at positions 1892 to 3294 of the family's 3401-position model. The record is from RNAcentral.